This 1805-nucleotide long non-coding RNA is filed under the name Salvator merianae (Argentine black and white tegu). RNAcentral describes it as "lncRNA (ENSSMRG00000012139.1)". Lineage: Eukaryota; Metazoa; Chordata; Lepidosauria; Squamata; Teiidae. The record is from RNAcentral.
GCUAAGUCGGGCGCGAACCACGGCAACGCCAGCGGCCUAGCAGAAGGAGAGAGGGAGGGAGCCCGAGCUCGAUUUGGAAACGACCCGCCGCUAAGGCGAGGAACGCCCAGAGGAAAAGGGAGCCGCUUUACGGGCUCCCGACGUCGGAGCAGCCCCNCACUGGAAAAGGACGCCAGAGGAGUUCUCCCACCAGUCUAAGUUGUAGUUGAGCACUCUACUGUGGCUCCUGCCUGGGCCGAUACUACUCGAGAGGACGUGCAUAGCAGAGCCCAUGGAGAUGAGCUGUUCCUGCAGCAGCCCUGUUCCANACUAUUCAGAGGAUACUUUUACGUCCUUCAGUGAAGGGGAAGAAGAGGAAACUUCCAGGCACUAUGGGGAUGACUCAUUUGAGUCUUACUACUCUGGAGAGAAGUCAGAAUNUCCUGCNGUGUUGGAUUNCUCUGAAAGCACAUCACUGUUGUCNGGCCAAGACAGCGAAGCAGAACAUGAGCCAGAUGUUUUGGAUUCUGUAGCAGUGGCAGAGUGCUUUACUAGAAAAUGGAUCGGUCUUCUGCAAGACACUAAAGCUAGGACGGAGCAAGUGAAACCUGCCCCUGACCCAGAUAAGGUUAGCCNAAGCUCAAGUCCAUCAGCCUUCACGGUGUCCCCACUGCCUGAAGAAGAAGGAAGAGCUGGCAAAAGCCUCUUUUCUCCGGCGCAAGAAGACCUUGCUAGAAAGCAUCUUGCUUCAGGAGAAACUGGAGGAACACAUGUAUUGCAAAGAUUCUCUUACUCUUAUUGGAGAAAUACACAGAAGUCUUCCUAAGCUGUUAGAGGAUCCCAAGAACAUAUGGCAGGAAUUGAAUAUGAGAGGUCUGCAGAUAUAAUGCCUGCUUGCGAUGGCAGGUUAAUUGAAGCAGAAGAGAGGAACAGGUUGACGUUGCACCAGUGAAGCAGUGCGAUAUUUAGCAAGCUGUUUGCUGAGCAAAUGUGCCCCUUGCAAUGGGGUUUUGGGUCCAAGGAUGAGCUCCAGUUCCUCUCCCAGCUCAAACACAACAGUGCACCAUCAUCUAACUAAAUGAAUUUUCAUAUUAUGGAAGGGCACUUCAUUCUUAUUAUCAUUCUGACAAGGUUGUAAGCAUAGGGUUAGGGGUUUUGUGUGUGUGUGUGUUUCCUUUUGAGUUUUGGGAGCAGCUCACAGCUGCUUUCACCUGUAAGGAAAACAAAUGGCUCUGUAUUUCAAGGCAGGGAGAGGUAAUUAUUGGUUUUCAGCUCAAUCUGUGCCUGCUGCCACUGGCUAAAUUGAAAGCUGGAACCCUGGGUAGAAAAGGGAGGGUGACGGGGCACCGGGAGCUGCAGAGGAAUGCAGAAGAGUUAAAAUGGCUGUUGUUGUUUUUUAUGAUACCNAGAACAAUGACAGCGUGAAGUGGANUUGCUACAUNUCCUUGAAGAUUCAGAGGCAGCGAAUGGUGGUAUUAAAUUAAUACUGUCAAUUUGGAUAAAAAAGAAGCAGCUACCAGAAGCUAAUAACAUGGCCAAANGCUGUUCUUCGGUUUGCUUUCUUGGAGGGACGUACAGACGGCUGCUUCAAAGGAUUUGAAUCAGGCACUCGCUGUCAAAGAACGGCUCCGGAUUUAGGGGUGCCAGUGUGUGUUUUCCUAGGCCUUGGGAUGGGGCAGGAGCUAUCGCACGUAUUCUGGAUUCACUCCCCAUUCCCUUCUGGAUCAUAUGUUAAAGGAGGCACCCGAAAGGAUUUGGCAAGCUUCUGCCAUUUCUUAUUACAAGUGUCCACCGGACUGUUUUCUUGUCCGUGGGUAUCCUGCCUC